AGAGUUUGAUCAUGGCUCAGGAUAAACGCUGGCGGCGCACAUAAGACAUGCAAGUCGAACGAACUUAACUCAUUCUUUACGAUUGAGAGCGGUUAGUGGCGGACUGGUGAGUAAUACGUAAGCAACCUGCCUAUCAGAGGGGAAUAACAGUGAGAAAUCAUUGCCAAUACCGCAUAUGCUAACAGUAUUGCAUGAUACAGUUAGGAAAGGAGCAAUCCGCUGAUAGAUGGGCUUACGCCUGAUUAGCUAGUUGGUGGGGCAACGGCCUACCAAGGCGACGAUCAGUAGCCGGACUGAGAGGUUGAACGGCCACAUUGGGACUGAGAUACGGCCCAGACUCCUACGGGAGGCAGCAGUCGGGAAUAUUGCGCAAUGGAGGAAACUCUGACGCAGUGACGCCGCGUAUAGGAAGAAGGUUUUCGGAUUGUAAACUAUUGUCGUUAGGGAAGAUAAAAGACUGUACCUAAGGAGGAAGCCCCGGCUAACUAUGUGCCAGCAGCCGCGGUAAUACAUAGGGGGCAAGCGUUAUCCGGAAUUAUUGGGUGUAAAGGGUGCGUAGACGGAGAGACAAGUUGGUUGUGAAAUCCCUCGGCUCAACUGAGGAACUGCAACCAAAACUAUUUCCCUUGAGUGUCGGAGAGGAAAGUGGAAUUCCUAGUGUAGCGGUGAAAUGCGUAGAUAUUAGGAGGAACACCAGUGGCGAAGGCGACUUUCUGGACGAUAACUGACGUUGAGGCACGAAAGUGUGGGGAGCAAACAGGAUUAGAUACCCUGGUAGUCCACACCGUAACGAUGGAUAC
RNAcentral lists this ribosomal RNA (800 nucleotides) under uncultured bacterium. RNAcentral's name for it is "bacterial SSU rRNA". It matches the Rfam family "Bacterial small subunit ribosomal RNA", at positions 8 to 816 of the family's 1533-position model. The record is from RNAcentral.